CACAGCCAGCGGACCAGAGUUGGUGGGGAGAAGAUGGAAGGAGGUUCGACGACUCUGGGACUGUGCUGUAGCGGAGGCAUGGGAGCCCUGGGACUGCCACACAGGACGACAUCCCAUGCUAAAGAGCCCCGGAGGGCAUAAGUCUAACGCUGUUUAUUAGGGCUUGUUCAAUAACUGAAAUGUAACAGGAUAUGAUACCCAGACCCAUGCCCAAGACCCUAGCUUCACGAUACAGCAUACACACUACACCAAUAGGUACCGCACGUACCAGACUGAUACGUAAUAUAACGACUACACAUAUGUACACAACUAAGCCC
Pelobates cultripes (western spadefoot toad) is the source of this 317-nucleotide non-coding RNA. The record is from the annotation of a GenBank genome assembly. NCBI's taxonomy places the organism in Eukaryota, Metazoa, Chordata, Amphibia, Anura, Pelobatidae.